GGGAAAAAAUAUCCAUCUUAUCCGUUCGUACUCAUCACCGCAGCAGGUCUCCAAAGGUUAGAAAGCCUCUAGUUGACAGAAUAACGUUGGUAAGGGAAGUCGGCAAAUUAAAUUUGUAACUUAGGGGAUAAAAAAUUGGCUCUAAAGGCUGGGUAUCAGGGUCAUAUGUUGGAAUCCUUUUAGGAAUCUUAUUUACGAUAAUCUAGCUUCGGUGGGGUUAUUGUGGAUGGGUGGAAUAAGGGUGGAUGGUGUAUGAUAAACCUCGGUUUAUUUCUUGAUACAAUUAACAGCUAAUUUAGAACUGUUACUGAGUAGGGGAAUCCGACUGUUUAAUUAAAACAAAGCAUUGUGAUAGGCUUAAUUUGCUAUUAACACAAUGUGAUUUCUGCCCAGUGCUCUGAAUGUCAAAGUGAAGAAAUUCAAACAAGCGCGGGUAAACGGCGGGAG
This 447-nucleotide ribosomal RNA is filed under the name uncultured eukaryote. RNAcentral describes it as "eukaryotic LSU rRNA". It matches the Rfam family "Eukaryotic large subunit ribosomal RNA", at positions 1817 to 2259 of the family's 3401-position model. The record is from RNAcentral.